AAUCCAUGCAUCGGACAUUUUUAAAUUAAUUCUUUAAAUUUUUCCCAAGCUUCAUAUAGCAUUUCAUCCUUCGAAUGCCUAAAAGAUGUGAUGUCAUUUCUAAGCUU
Molecule: non-coding RNA, 107 nt
Organism: Gossypium hirsutum (cotton)
Lineage: Eukaryota; Viridiplantae; Streptophyta; Magnoliopsida; Malvales; Malvaceae
Source: Rfam